GAUGAAGAACGUAGUGAAAUGCGAUAACUAAUGUGAAUUGCAGAAUUCAGUCAAUCAUCGAGUCUUUGAACGCACAUUGCGCCCCCUGGUAUUCCGGGGGGCAUGCCUGUCCGAGCGUCAUUGCUGCCCUCAAGCACGGCUUGUGUGUUGGGCUCCGUCCCCCCGGGGACGGGCCCGAAAGGCAGCGGCGGCACCGAGUCCGGUCCUCGAGCGUAUGGGGCUUUGUCACCCGCUCUGUAGGCCCGGCCGGCGCCAGCCGACAACCCAUCAUCCUUUUCAGGUUGACCUCGGAUCAGGUAGGGAUACCCGCUGAACUUAAGCAUAUCAAAGCGGAGGA
This 337-nucleotide unclassified non-coding RNA is filed under the name soil metagenome. RNAcentral's name for it is "partial contains 5.8S ribosomal RNA, internal transcribed spacer 2, and large subunit ribosomal RNA". The stretch from base 1 to 120 matches the Rfam family "5.8S ribosomal RNA", at positions 35 to 154 of the family's 154-position model. The record is from RNAcentral.